GCUAGGGCUGCUGCCACCCGGGCGUGGCGGGGACCUUGGCCUCCUUGUGCCCUCAGUCCCCCCGAGACCGGGAAGGGGCGCGGCAGCCGGGCUGCGCGGCCGCUGAAAGGUCCGGCUCAUCUCCCAAAAGCGCCGCGACAGCAACGCUAACACCGCUCCCCCCCUCCCCGGCAAAUUAGGGCGAAAGCGACCCCCGCGAAGCUGUUGCGUAACACGAUUGGGAAACCAGGCUGGACGCGCACGGUCUGCGUUCCCGACCACGUGGAGGGGUGGCUGCUGUUGCCGAGGACCCAAGGGUCCGCGCGGCCGGGGUGCGCCCGCCUGGGACGCCCUCCGACCUUCGGAACUCAGGUUGGAGCGAGCCUCGGAGGGCACCGCCCCCCCCCUCCCCAGCAUCUGGAGCUAGUAGCUGCGCUGUCCUUUCUGCCCCUAGCGAACACGUCGGCCCCUCCCUCCCCAAUUCCAUAGCCGUACAAAAGACGUAAGAAAAUGGGAAACAGAGCAUCUGGCGGCACGUUCUGCAGUCAGUUACCAGGUUGGCUGUUGUAAAGGAACGUGGCAUGCACUCCCCGCGUUUACAGACACGUAAGGUUAGUGCUGGCCUUGGCAGAGGGAGCCAUAUUCCUGACAGUGACGCACGCGCCUGCCCCAAAACGGAUUGUGGCAGGUGGCGAGGUCCUUGAGCAGUCGGUCUCCUGCUCUGCUCGGACUGUGAGAGCGGGGCUCGAGUGACUCCCUCCCUCUGCUUCCCCCACCUUCUCGUUUUUGUUUUGUUUUGUAUUUUUAAAGAAAGCAAGUCCAAAGUGCGUGACACCCUCCCUCCCCGCCGAACAUCUUACUAAGUGGAUCUUUUUCCACCUACCCCGGGCACACAAGUAAACGGAAAAUCUCGGAGGCAUCCUCAGUGCUGGUCUGAUGACCAUUCACCGGUUGGACUUUUGGACGCCUUCACGCGGCAGUAACGAUGGAGCCUGCUGUCUCGUGAGAUACCCAGCAAGCCACAGAUAGUUUGGAUCCCGAAGUAGGAGUAACGUUUUCACAAAAAGCCAACCGAACUUGCCUGACUCACCCGAGGCUGACAGCGGAGGAACUGAGGCUCUGACCCGCGAAGCUGUUCUGUAGAUUGAAUUCUGAAAUCUGAUGCCUGUCUUCAAUCCCCGGGACAGUUUACCCUGCGCCUCCACCGCAUCGGUGCUUCCGUCAUUGUCAUCUAACUUGGAAAUUAGAGGAAGUGUGUGAGAGAUGAGUCCGAUAGCAACUUGGAAAAUAACUCGUUAGCGCCUCCUGGCGCUUCGGAAACAGAUCAACAAGGCGGCGGAGGCUUGGUCUCCAGGACCUGGGCGAUGGAGUGUCCAGGUUACACACUCGGGAGGGUUGACCUUCUGGGCAAGUGCUUGCAAUGAGCUGCACCAGAAGAAAAUUGAAACAUAACCCUAGGGCUGGAGGACUUCCCCCAAGCCUCCAGGGUGCCGAUGGCAGCCUGAAAGUAGGGUCUCCUGAGGACGGAGAGGAUGGAGAGCUGGCUGAAGUAUGAAGUCCAAACUUGGGUUUUCCUGGAAGCGCUGGGGCUUGAGUCCCAGUCUUCUACAUGCUAAGCAAGUGCUUUAUCGGUGAGCUACCUUCCCAGGAGAAACCCAAGGCGUUCUUACUCUAAGCGGUUGGUUCCUUUCAGUGCUGGGAUCUGCGGUGGAUGCAGGAGCCGAGAGCCGAGGAGCAGAGGAGCAGAGGAGCAGUGACCCGGACCAGCAGAAAUCAUUCGCAAAAGGCUUUGUUCUCAUACUGCCCUGCUCUCUUACCCAGGAGGGAGCAUGAGAGGUGAAAGCCGAGAACAGGGAGAGAAUGUGAGCGUGAGAAUGUAGUUCUUCCUGAGAAAACUUUCAGGAUAUGUCCAGCUGCAAGGUCCAGACUGCUGGUCAAUAGGCUUUUCCCAAGGGGUUUCCCCUCUCAGUGGUGGGUGUCGGCCCAGCUCUGAGCCCAGUUAGACAGCUUCAGCUCGGUGUCCUGGACCUUGCUACACCUGGUUAGCUGUCGUUAGGUGCUUUAGGAGGGUCCAGGAGGGGAGCCACCUGUGGACCGUGACACGAGAGAAAAAAUGCCUUCAUCGUUACAGUACCAGGCCAGGCAGCUGUGGCGCCAAGUUUUCAAAAGUUGACAUUAAAAAUAUCUUUUUUUUGGGGGGGGGAUGUUUGAGAGAGAGAGAUAGCCUGCUUUCCAGUGUUGGCAAGGAAUCCAUUUUCUUUCAAAGUGAGGCUAAUGAGAUGGCGUAGAGGAUAAAGGCACUUUCCUAGUUUUGAGCUCUAGGAUUCAAAUGGUGGAGGGUCAGAACCGAGCCCUUCAGGUUGCCCUGUGACCUCUAUAUGUGAAUUAUGGCAUGGGUUUGAGUAAGUAAGUAAGUAAGUAAGUAAAUAAAUGUGAUAUACUUAAAAGUAAAUAAAAUAUUGGGCCAGUUGUGGCUCAGUUGUUAAGGGACUUGCAUAUCUUGCACAAAGCUCUGGGUCCAACUCCCAGCACCACAGAAAACAGAUAUGGUGGUGCAUGCCUGUAAUCCCAGCACUCAGGAGGUACAGGCAGCAAGAUCAGAAGUUCAAAGUCAUUUUCAGCUAUAAUGUCAGUUCCAGGCUAGCCUAGGCUAUGCGAGACUGUUUGUGACUGACUGACUGAAUGAAUGAAUGAAUGAGUCAAUGAAUUGGUCUAGGGCUUACCUGACUGGAGCCUAAAGAUGGAAAAUAAAGUUCUGUCAAUCACAAGGGGGACCGACAGGCUGACGACUAGUCAGGUCUGCAGCUCUGUCUGCUUUGUGUACCGGAGUGUUCUGAAUUUCUCAGUGGGAAAGCCCAGUUGCUCUGCACCCUCUAAUGACCACAGCCCUCACGUAGGGGCCAUGACCAGCAUGAAAGCCCCUACCUACCACUGCACUGUGUUUGUUGGCCUUUUAGCACCUUUUAUUUACUUUUAAGUUUUAAAAGAUUUGUUCAUUUCAAUUUUGUGUGUAUGAGUGUCUUGUCUUCAUGCAUGUCUGCAGCACAUGUGUGCCUGGUGCCUACAAAAGCCACAGGAGGGCAGCCGCUCCCCUGGGACUGGAGGUACGGCUGGUUGCGAGCUGCCAUGUGAAUCUCAUAGUUAAAGUCCAGUUGCUCUUAAGAGCAACCAGUGCCCUUAACUGUCUCAUUUCUCAUUUCUCUUAAAAAAACAAAACAAAACAUUCUUUGUUGUUUUUCAAGACAAGGUUUCUUGUGCAGCCCUGGCUGUUCUGGAACUGGCACUGUAGACCAGGCUGGCCUUGAACUCAGAGGCCCUCCUGCCUCUGCCUUCCCAGUGCUAAGACUAAAGGCGAGCGCCGCCGCCACCGCUACCUCCAUCACCUCUCCUCAUCUCUGUCUUGUAUCUUUUAAUUAAACUUUGCAAAGCAGUUCAGACAGUUUCCAGAGA
Molecule: long non-coding RNA, 3429 nt
Organism: Psammomys obesus (fat sand rat)
Lineage: Eukaryota; Metazoa; Chordata; Mammalia; Rodentia; Muridae
Exons: 2
Source: RefSeq, a predicted model, not a curated record